Homo sapiens (human) is the source of this 630-nucleotide long non-coding RNA. The record is from Ensembl. Lineage: Eukaryota; Metazoa; Chordata; Mammalia; Primates; Hominidae.
AGAACAGGAGCUAAGAGGAGCCAGCAGAAGGGGACGGCAGGAACUAGGAAAUUUAAGGCGGGGAGAAACAACUGAGAGAAGUGGACAGAAAAAAGAAAGCUUAGCAUAAAUAAGAAGGCCCGGGACUCCCGUGCGUCCAGUAGACCUGCUCUGCUAUGGAUCAAAACAAAUGAUUUGUCAUUCUGAAAUGACUCUGAAAGGGGGAAUGGAAUGUGCCCCAACGAUCAAUAUUAAAUUUUAUGCCUGCUGCACCUUUCAAAAGGCUCAAGAAGACAUUGAUUCAACUCACAGCUUACUUUCUGGGUAGCAGGACUCCACAGGGAAACAAUAAGGGCAUCAACAUCAUGGAACUUACAAGCCUGGAGUCUUGGCUUCUGGGUCAGGUGACCUUGGGGAAGUCACUUCACUUUCCCAGUUUCUAGAUGCUUCCAAGACGGUGCUGUCUGCCUAAAUUUUUCUAAACAACUCGAAGCCAUCCUUAAAGUGUUUGAGGAAUGGACAUUCUCAGGCAAAGUCGUUUCCAAGCCCCUUCGGCUCAGCACUGCACCGCAGAUCACUGCUUUCUCAAAUCAAAGGGGGCCCCCCUGCAGAGUUGGUUUACACCAUUAAAUUUCCUCCAAUGUAAAGCCA